This 720-nucleotide ribosomal RNA is filed under the name Triticum aestivum (bread wheat). RNAcentral's name for it is "partial small subunit ribosomal RNA". The record is from RNAcentral. Lineage: Eukaryota; Viridiplantae; Streptophyta; Magnoliopsida; Poales; Poaceae.
AUGUCCAUUGCUGGCAGAUGGGUGCUAGUGCGCUGCGUUCUCAGUGAUCUGCCCAUGUUCGCGGUCACGGUCCUGAAAGUGCCCAAAAAGUUCUUUAAGGAAGUGGACAAAGCGCAGAGACAUUUUCUCGGGGCACAAGAAAAAGAGCUAAUAGGUGGAAAAUGCAAGGUGAACUGGCCGGCUAUCUGCUCUCCAAUCGACCAAGGAGGUCUUGGGAUACAUGACCUGCAGAAUUUCAGCUCAGCAUUGAGGCUGUGCUGGCUAUGGAACUCAUGGAUACACCAGGAUCGACCAUGGGUAGGAACUGAAAUCCCAUGCGAGGAUAAGGAAAGGCAACUUUUCAGUGCUGCAACCUCGGUGACAUUGGGCAAUGGUGCUUUGGCCUCUUUUCUGGAACUGCCAGAGAUUUCCAUUCCCACAAUUGUUCAAGCAUUCGAGAAGAAAAACAAAACAGUCAAAGCUGCUCUCUCUGAAGAUACAUGGAUUUCAGACUUCGCCCAUGGAAACACAAGCAAUCUUCUUCAUGAAUUUGUGGCCCUCAGAAGAUGGCUCACAUCAUCUGGUAUCUCAUUGCGUGAAGACCAUGAAGAUAGCAUCAAAUGGAAAUUCUUUGAUGAUGGUACCUAUAACAUGGCCUCAGCUUACAAGAUGCAGUUCGAAGGGCACACCAAAUCACCAUUCAAAAAGCUCUUGGGACAGCUUGGGCACCGGGGGGCAUAA